Long non-coding RNA from Sapajus apella (tufted capuchin), 1019 nucleotides. RefSeq lists it as uncharacterized. NCBI's taxonomy places the organism in Eukaryota, Metazoa, Chordata, Mammalia, Primates, Cebidae. The transcript is spliced from 2 exons. The record is from RefSeq and is a predicted model, not a curated record.
GACAUUAUUCUCAUUCAAUAGCCCGGUUGUUUUUUAGGUAUAAGAAAUGAUAGGCAGAAACAUUGUCCUUCUUAUGUUCUUGAAAAUCCACCCCCUAAUGUAGGAACUACCAAACUCAAUUCAAAACUGAAGUGAUUUGCCCUAAAGUUUCCUAUCUCAAAACCUCCAAGUCAUCUUGGACUCUAGAUUCAAGUGUUCUGUUUCUAGCUUCUUAUGUACUUUCUUCUACUUAUUUUGAGUGACUCUUAGUUUAAGCUCCAUGGCUCCCCAGCUUUCACCUUUGUGAGUCACCUCCCUGUAGUUAGUCUGAAGGCAACAUCAGCUCCACUACUACAGAGGCUGGAGUCAGCAUAAAUGUUUACUAGUUAUGAGAGUAUUGUACAAAUCGGUGAGAUUAUUCUAGGAAAUAUGUUGACAAACUUUUAUAAAACAGUAAUAUAUAAUGACAUACACAUUACAUAAUUGCAUUAGUUCAUGGAUAUAUUUACUAAAUGCAAAGCUACAUAAUGAGUGAAUUGGUAUAAAAUCGUUUUGGAGAAAGUUAUCAGGUAAAUAAUAGUAGAGUCAAUUCUCAGAGUCUCAGAAAAGGUAAAAAUUAAAGAAAGAAAUAAUGCCGAAAUAAGGCAAAUAUGAGAAUAAGAGUAGUAGAAAAACUAGGCAUAAGGUGUUAUUUUGUUGUAGAGAUUCUCUCUGAUUUCACUCUGAAAUCUAGUUUUAGCUUCUGUUAGUUUUGGAUUAUAUUACUAUAAUAUGCACAUUCUGCCUUACACUCUCAUUUGAGGGUACACCGCUAACUAUAGUCUCCUUCAAAUCUGGUUUCUUUAAUUUUUCACCUUCUGCAAAGAUUAUAGAAUUUUAUUUUAUUUAUAGCCCCACUAAAAGGCUACCAAACAUCUCCUAUAAGUAUGUAAGGACUCUGUUCCUUCAAAAGAGGGGAAACCUUUUCUAUUCAAAUAGCCUGGAAACAUUGACAAAACCUGCCAUAUAUUGAGGCCACAAAAAACCUCAAUAAAUUAUUU